This is a ribosomal RNA of 600 nucleotides. It matches the Rfam family "Bacterial small subunit ribosomal RNA", at positions 40 to 641 of the family's 1533-position model.
CGUAAGGCAGCGUACACAUGCAAGUCGAGCGGUAACAGGGGUAGCUUGCUACCCGCUGACGAGCGGCGGACGGGUGAGUAAUGCAUAGGAAUCUACCCGGUAGUGGGGGAUAACCUGGGGAAACCCAGGCUAAUACCGCAUACGUCCUACGGGAGAAAGGGGGCUUUGGCUCCCGCUAUCGGAUGAGCCUAUGCCGGAUUAGCUGGUUGGUGAGGUAAUGGCUCACCAAGGCGACGAUCCGUAGCUGGUCUGAGAGGAUGAUCAGCCACAUCGGGACUGAGACACGGCCCGAACUCCUACGGGAGGCAGCAGUGGGGAAUAUUGGACAAUGGGCGAAAGCCUGAUCCAGCCAUGCCGCGUGUGUGAAGAAGGCCCUCGGGUUGUAAAGCACUUUCAGUGAGGAAGAACGCCUGUCGGUUAAUACCCGGCAGGAAAGACAUCACUCACAGAAGAAGCACCGGCUAACUCCGUGCCAGCAGCCGCGGUAAUACGGAGGGUGCAAGCGUUUAUCGGAAUUACUGGGCGUAAACGCCCGAUAGGGUUUAUAACCGGUGUGAUAAAGCCCCGGGCUCAACCUGGGAACGGCAUCCGGAACUUGUC